Oncorhynchus tshawytscha (Chinook salmon) is the source of this 578-nucleotide long non-coding RNA. NCBI's taxonomy places the organism in Eukaryota, Metazoa, Chordata, Actinopteri, Salmoniformes, Salmonidae. The record is from Ensembl.
AUGGUGAUAGGUGGAAUGGGCUGAGAGUGGCUGAGGGGCGGGAUUAAAGAGCUGAGGUCUAUGGUGAUAGGUGGGAUGGGCUGAGAAUGGCUGAGGGGCGGGAUUAAAGAGCUGAGGUCUAUGGUGAUAGGUGGGAUGGGCUGAGAGUGGCUGAGGGGUGGGAUUAAAGAUCUGAGGUCUAUGGUGAUAGGUGGGAUGGGCUCAGAGUGGCUGAGGGGUGGGAUUAAAGAGCUGAGGUCUAUGGUGAUAGGUGGAAUGGGCUGAGAGUGGCUGAGGGGUGGGAUUAAAGAGCUGAGGUCUAUGGUGAUAGGUGGGAUGGGCUGAGUGUAGCUGAGGGGUGGGAUUAAAGAGCUGAGGUCUAUGGUGAUAGGUGGAAUGGGCUGAGAGUGGCUGAGGGGUGGGAUUAAAGAGCUGAGGUCUAUGGUGAUAGGUGGGAUGGGCUGAGUGUAGCUGAGGGGUGGGAUUAAAGAGCUUUUUGUUUGGUAAUGUAUUAUUGUUAUAUGAUUGCUUUAUAUAAAAGUACCAUGUAUGUAAAAUGUAUGUGUAAAAUGUAUGUGUAAAAUGUAUGUAUACAUAGC